AAACCACAACCAUCUGUGAAUGUAACUACAAAGAAGAAAUCCAUUAAAAAGUAGGUUUAUUUUACAUUUUGCUUAUGUUGGUAUACUAGUACUUCUUUGAAGUUUGUAGUUGAUGCUAUGACAGAAAUUUGUAUUUCCUUCCCUUCCCCCUCAUUGCUGUUAAAAUACAAUGUACUUUACUUAGAGUUCAACAAUAUUUUGUUUUCUUUUGGACAUUGCUCAUCUCGGUGCACAUUUACCUUGAUGCCUGUUUUUUUGUCUCUUGUUUUCUGUCUGAUAUUGACAUUUUAUAUUGAAGUUGCGUUUGAGUGUCCGACAUUGUGUCUACAAGUCUUCCUACCUCAUUGCUGUUAAAAUACAAUGUACUUUACUUAGAGUUCAACAAUAUUUUGUUUUCUUUUGGACAUUGCUCAUCUCGGUGCACAUUUACCUUGAUGCCUGUUUUUUUGUCUCUUGUUUUCUGUCUGAUAUUGACAUUUUAUAUUGAAGUUGCGUUUGAGUGUCCGACAUUGUGUCUACAAGUCUUCCUACCUCAUUGCUGUUAAAAUACAAUGUACUUUACUUAGAGUUCAACAAUAUUUUGUUUUCUUUUGGACAUUGCUCGUCUCGGUGCACAUUUACCUUGAUGCCUGUUUUUUUGUCUCUUGUUUUCUGUCUGAUACUGACAUUUUAUAUUGAAGUUGCGUUUGAGUGUCCGACAUUGUGUCUACAAGUCUUCCUACCUUGUUUUAAUCUCUUUUAGAUAUUGAUAAUACAAUGGUGCACACCAACAUUUGUCUUCUGAUUCUUUUGGUGUCCAAAUUCAAUCCCUAGCAUAACUUAAUUGAGUUGGGGUUUAGGUAGAAGAUUUUUGUACUUCUGUUACAUAUAAAAUGCUGAGAGAAACAUCUCUGGUUCAAGUUUUAAUUUGUAAUGUAUUCUUCAUAUUUUGCCAUCACUCCUAGUGUGUGUUUGGCUGUAACCUCAAGUGAACAAUGCAGACAUGCAGUGUUCAUUGCAAAUUACAAAUGAGUCAGUGAUAUUGAUGACUUCAGUGAGGUUGCCUGAAAUGACCAAAACCUGUGGCAGUGACAGUGUAUAGUUUUUU
Molecule: long non-coding RNA, 1087 nt
Filed under: Cicer arietinum (chickpea)
Lineage: Eukaryota; Viridiplantae; Streptophyta; Magnoliopsida; Fabales; Fabaceae
Description: long non-coding RNA (CARI_LNC001790)
Source: RNAcentral